ACAAAUUCAAAAUAGAUGGAAAAUUAGACACUUUCUUCACAAUGUCUUAACCAAACGAAGUUAUUUCUUUCAGGCUAUUUGUGUAUUGAAUAUCUGCCCCUUGAAGAGAAUUAAACUAUAUAAUGAAAGUGAAAUAUCCAGAUAUCACCUUAAUACUCAGCAGUCAUACUCACUGAUGUUCCUGAGGCUUCAUGCAUUACAGGGCUCAAAAGAUAUCUUGUAAAUUUUGUUUCAGUAAUUGUUCUUUAUUUGGCAGAGUCAAUCUGCAUUUAAAUGAAAAUGGCAGAUUUACAAAUGGUGUAUUAAGUGAACUUUGCAACUAAGGACAUGAAAAAAUGAUGGCUGGGACUUAUGAUUUGUCGGCAGCAAACAGGUUCUAAUAAGGCAGAUUCUAAUAAAGCAGUCAUUAAAAAAAUUGAAUUUAGCAAAACAAUAUGAUGUAAUACAAAUGUAGUUUAUCCUGGGUAUGUGUUUAUUUUAUAUUUGAUAACGUUAGAUUUCUUAAAGCUUUGUAUACUUGAGAUGUUUAGUUCAAAGGAAUAAGAAGUCUCAAAAAACUGCAUAGGUAGAGAAGGAAAAUUCAAAAUUGGCAACUGGUUUAUAUACCUAGUGUCUCAUUUUUCUAAAAAACUGAAGCCUGGAUUUUUUACUCUUGCUAGGAUUAUGUGACUACUGGAAACCACUUAAACAGGGGGCCCCAAUCUUUAAAAAAAAAAAAAAUUACCUGAACUUGAAUUUUACUAAAAACUGUGAGACACUCACUUUACUCUUCUCUAAUAAUCUCACUAGAUGUCUUUUUAAGUCCUACUGCUGCUCCCUUACUCAGAAGGGAACUUCACUAAACUCUGCACAUCAGUUCUGUAAGAUCUUAAGCACAGUGUUAAUUGCUAGAAGAUGAUUUGUCCCUUUAAGUGGGUUUAUUUGCAGCUUGAAAUCUAAUGAAAAAUAUCAUCCUGUAGAAUGCUCUUGGCCACUAGUGCUUGUAUGUAAGUAUAAACUUGAAAGAGACCUCCAUUAGCACAUUUAAGUUUCACAUGUCAUCUGGGGAAGUUGAUAACAAAGUGCUAUGAGAAUUUAUCACUGAACAAAUUAUUUGUGCCAAAAAUACAGCUGGAACAUAAAUGACUAGGUUUAAAACUGUUCAUUUUCUGAACACCUA
Molecule: long non-coding RNA, 1159 nt
Filed under: Marmota monax (woodchuck)
Lineage: Eukaryota; Metazoa; Chordata; Mammalia; Rodentia; Sciuridae
Source: RNAcentral